RNAcentral lists this ribosomal RNA (495 nucleotides) under uncultured bacterium. RNAcentral's name for it is "partial 16S ribosomal RNA". It matches the Rfam family "Bacterial small subunit ribosomal RNA", at positions 28 to 507 of the family's 1533-position model. The record is from RNAcentral.
GACGAACGCUGGCGGCGUGCCUAAUACAUGCAAGUAGAACGCUGAAGGAGGAGCUUGCUCUUCUGGAUGAGUUGCGAACGGGUGAGUAACGCGUAGGUAACCUGCCUGGUAGCGGGGGAUAACUAUUGGAAACGAUAGCUAAUACCGCAUAAAAUUGAUUAUUGCAUGAUAGUCAAUUAAAAGGUGCAAUUGCAUCACUACCAGAUGGACCUGCGUUGUAUUAGCUAGUUGGUGAGGUAACGGCUCACCAAGGCAACGAUACAUAGCCGACCUGAGAGGGUAAUCGGCCACACUGGGACUGAGACACGGCCCAGACUCCUACGGGAGGCAGCAGUAGGGAAUCUUCGGCAAUGGACGGAAGUCUGACCGAGCAACGCCGCGUGAGUGAAGAAGGUUUUCGGAUCGUAAAGCUCUGUUGUAAGAGAAGAACGAGUGUGAGAGUGGAAAGUUCACACUGUGACGGUAUCUUACCAGAAAGGGACGGCUAACUACGUG